UUUUUAAAUGGGAUCUUGUAUGAAUGGUUGGACAAGAGAGAAACUAUCUUUAUAUUAGGUUUUAAAUUUAACUUUUAAGUGAGAAGGCUUAAAUAAUUUAGAGGGACGAUAAGACCCUAUAAAACUUUACAUUAUAGUUAUAUUUUAUUGAAGUUUAAAAAUAAAAAUUUAUUUAAUUAUUUUGUUUUGUUGGGGCGACAAAAGUAAAAAUUUUUUUAACUGCUUAAAAA
RNAcentral lists this ribosomal RNA (230 nucleotides) under Barytelphusa sp. SD-2005. Its description in RNAcentral is "partial 16S ribosomal RNA". Lineage: Eukaryota; Metazoa; Arthropoda; Malacostraca; Decapoda; Gecarcinucidae. The record is from RNAcentral.